UAUUUAGUGCAUGGAAUAUAGAUAUGAUCUCGGUUCUAUUUUGUUGGUUUUCAGAACUCCGAGGUAAUGAUUAAUAGGGAUAACUGGGGGCAUUCGUAUUGCGACGUUAGAGGUGAAAUUCUUGGAUCGUCGCAAGACGAACAUCAGCGAAAGCAUUUGCCAAAGGUGUUUUCAUCAAUCAAGAACGAAAGUUAGAGGUUCGAAGGCGAUUAGAUACCGCCCUAGUUCUAACCGUAAAUAUGUCAUCUAGCGAUCCGCCGACGUUACUACAAUGGCUCGGCGGGCAGCUUCCGGGAAACC
This 300-nucleotide ribosomal RNA is filed under the name Greya politella. Its description in RNAcentral is "SSU rRNA". It matches the Rfam family "Eukaryotic small subunit ribosomal RNA", at positions 799 to 1099 of the family's 1831-position model. Lineage: Eukaryota; Metazoa; Arthropoda; Insecta; Lepidoptera; Prodoxidae. The record is from RNAcentral.